This 378-nucleotide unclassified non-coding RNA is filed under the name plant metagenome. RNAcentral's name for it is "partial contains 5.8S ribosomal RNA, internal transcribed spacer 2, and large subunit ribosomal RNA". The stretch from base 1 to 105 matches the Rfam family "5.8S ribosomal RNA", at positions 50 to 154 of the family's 154-position model. The record is from RNAcentral.
GAAAUGCGAUAAGUAAUGUGAAUUGCAGAAUUCAGUGAAUCAUCGAAUCUUUGAACGCACCUUGCGCUCCUUGGUAUUCCUUGGAGCAUGCCUGUUUGAGUAUCAUGAAAUCUUCAAAGUAAAUCUUUUGUUAACUCAAUUGGUUUCUACUUUGGUAUUGGAGGUCUUUGCAGCUUCACACCUGCUCCUCUUUGUUCAUUAGCUGGAUCUCAGUGUUAUGCUUGGUUCCACUCGGCGUGAUAAGUUAUCUAUCGCUGAGGACACUGUAAAAGGUGGCCAAGGUAAAUGCAGAUGAACCGCUUCUAAUAGUCCAUUGACUUGGACAAUACUUUUAUGAUCUGAUACCAAAUCAGGUAGGACUACCCGCUGAACUUAAGC